CCACAAAAAAAAAAAAAAAAAAAGUUAUAAAAUUAAACAUCAAAGCUCUCUCUAUCACUAUGUAUUCCAGUUUAUGUGCUCUUGGAUCUCAUUUGUCCCCACUUCAGCAGCUGCUUCCCCAACCUUGUUUCUCUCUGAAAAUCUGCUAAAUUUGCAGCAUGAAAAUUGGCACAACCAAAAAAUGCUAGUAAAUGAUGCAAAAAAUUUGCAGAUUCACCUACCGUCCACUAGGCUAUUGGUCCAAGAGAAGGACAUGGAAGAUGAUUGGGAUUUUCUAAUAUCUUCAAAUGUUGGGUGAGAUGAGUAGCAUGAACUCUCAGAAUAAUUCAACCACAUAUCUUUAGAAUUGAUAUGUUGGAGCAGAUAUGCAUCCAUAUCUUCACUGUCAGGCUCAUUAGGCUCGUUCUUGCCCUCCAAAAUCUUCACGGCUUGCCUCAUUGUUGGCCGAGAACUAGGCUCAGGAUACGCGCACAACAAACCUAAAUGAAGUACUCUCUCCACUUCUUCCUCAUCGAACCCUCCUCUAGCCUUUAGCCUUGGAUCAAAGACACUCAGUAAUUGCCCUUGCAUCAUUGACUUCCAUACCAAUUCUACAAGUGGCGGCUUCCCUUCUUCUAUAGGCCUUCUUCCACACAUCACUUCCAAAAUUAAUACCCCAAAACCGAACACAUCUGUUUGAGCUGACGCUCGACCACUGCGAACCACCUCAGGCGCCAAGUACCCCACCGUUCCAACCACCCGCGUGGUGCUAGCCACCUGACCAUGGCUGUGCAUCCGAGCCAGGCCAAAAUCACCUAAUCUUCCAUUCAUUUCCUUAUCAAGUAAUACAUUGCUGGCUUUAAUGUCUCUAUGUAGGACUUUAGACUCCCAUCCCUCGUGCAAAUACAGUACUCCUGAAGCAACAUCUUUCAAUAUCCUUAUUCUCUCUUCACAGCUUAACAUUUUACUCUCUUCACAAUCGAACACCCUCUUAUCCAAACUCCCAUUUUCCAUAUAAUCAUACACUAACAUGAAGCUUCCUUUUUCUCUCUUGCACCAACCUCUCAACCCAACCAAACUCUUGUGUUUCAAUCUUCCAAGGCUAGAAAUUUCAGCCAAAAAUUCUCUCAUCCCAUUAUUUUCAUGUGAAAUUCGCUUCACUGCAACCUCAGUCCCUCCUGGUAAUACACCCUUAAAGACCUUCCCAUUUCCUCCAAUUCCAAUGACAUUUUCUUCACUAAAUCCUUUAGUUGCUGCCUCAAUUUCUUGAUACGUAAUUCUAUGUGGCCAAUAUUCCAAUUCCCACUCCUCCAUGUCCGCUCUUUCCCUUGCCCUCCUCUGCUUUCUCCUAAUAUAAAACACAGUAAUCAAGGCAAUAAAGACCAUAACAAGGAAACUUCCAACUGUGGCUCCUGCAAUGAACCCUUUAGACCGAAAAACAGAACCCUUUGGAAGAACAAACGAUGGCAACCCAGUUGUAAUCAAAUUUUCACUUAAUGAAAAAUUGGAAUUGCUAAAGCUCCAAGCCAGAAUCUUGUGACUCUGAACAAGUCUUCCUGUUGCAGAAGUGAACCCAAUAUACAUUUCUUCCUCAAAAACUUCAGAAAGAUUAAGAGAAGCAUUUAACAGAGGCCGACUAGGCCUUUUCAUGCCAACAGGGGCCAUGGUAAUAUUAAUAAAAGAAUCUGCAUAAUCAAUCCAAACUUGAUAAUUCUCACCAUUAUUGAGGUCCAAUUUUUCGAAGAUGCUGUUACUCCUUUUAUUUUCAGGCCAAUAUCCUGCAUCUGCAGCAAAACUUGACCUGAGGGAAUUCAGAUCUAUACCAACAUGGUUGUCGUUCAUGUCAUUGAAUUCUUGGUUGGCGAACACAUCGAACUCGACCCCAAAAACAUGGUUGCUGAAUUUAGCAUCAUUCGUCCGAUUAAACAAGCCUAAAUUUUGGGAUGAGCUAGUACCAUCGAUCCCAGUAAGUGGGACGAAAAUGAAAACCAAGCCAUGUCCUGGGAGAACAUUCUCGUACGGAGCCAUAGCAAAAAUGAAAGAAGUAGAGAAUGGAUAGAAAUAAGAGGAAUUAGGAGCUCUGGUAGGUAUUUUUGAUGGGUAUAGAGCACGACCAACUGCGAAAGGUGUUCUGUUAGUAAGGGAGAGAAUACGAGAUUCGAUGGUGGCAUUGCUAUAGAGAAGCAAGUCGGAGGAAUUAAAGCCAUUGAAGACAAAAUCAAUAGCUGAUACGGACAAACAAGAAAGGAUAAUCUGAGGCAGAAACAAAAGAAGAGGAGGCUUCAUUUUGCCAGUUUGCUACCACGGGAGCAGAAGAAGCCUCUGUUUCAUGGGAUACCUUAGGUAGAUACUAAAUAGAUAUGGCUUGAAUGGGAAGGAAAAAGAAUUGAAAUGAUGAAGCAUAGCAGAAUUUUACUGGUCAAACAUUUUGGUUUUGGACGUGUAACAUGUCGGUGAAUAUGGGAAUAGUUCCUUUGAAUAUUACAAAUAUAAAACAGCCUUGAAAGAUCAAAGAAGGUUAAUUUCAUACAGAAAGAGCGACGGGAAUGAAUUCAAAGAGCAAAGUACAAAUACAAC
RNAcentral lists this unclassified non-coding RNA (2556 nucleotides) under Hevea brasiliensis (rubber tree). Lineage: Eukaryota; Viridiplantae; Streptophyta; Magnoliopsida; Malpighiales; Euphorbiaceae. The record is from RNAcentral.